This is a non-coding RNA of Camellia sinensis, 394 nucleotides long. The record is from RefSeq and is a predicted model, not a curated record. Lineage: Eukaryota; Viridiplantae; Streptophyta; Magnoliopsida; Ericales; Theaceae.
AAGAUGAACUAAAGAAAGAUAAACUCAAGAAAAAUUUAAAGAGAGGAAGAAGAUCCAAGAGAAAAUCAACCAUAAAUUUUGAAAUCAAAGUUUAAGGGUCAAGCGCAGGGACGAAUCAAGUACCAAAACACUGUGAUCAGGGCGUGACCAAGCUUAGAGGCGCCUGGAAUCAGUUUUUGACAGCCAACCCAUGUGCCUCUCGUGAAGGUUCCAAAUAUAUCUAGUGGUUAUGGCUAAGUGCUUUAGGUUCAAGUUUUGUUUUCCUGUUCAGUUAGACAAGUCUUUGUGUAUUUUGUAAAUAAGGCUAAGUCUCUUUUUGUCUAGUUAGAAUAUGUAUAUAUAUGAUGAUGUGUAUAUGUACAUAAAUAAAGUUAAAAAUUUUAUGUCUCAUAUA